This 429-nucleotide ribosomal RNA is filed under the name Chloroflexota bacterium. RNAcentral's name for it is "Chloroflexi bacterium partial 16S ribosomal RNA". It matches the Rfam family "Bacterial small subunit ribosomal RNA", at positions 355 to 776 of the family's 1533-position model. Lineage: Bacteria; Bacillati; Chloroflexota. The record is from RNAcentral.
UGGGGAAUAUUGCACAAUGGGCGCAAGCCUGAUGCAGCCAUGCCGCGUGUAUGAAGAAGGCCUUCGGGUUGUAAAGUACUUUCAGCGGGGAGGAAGGGAGUAAAGUUAAUACCUUUGCUCAUUGACGUUACCCGCAGAAGAAGCACCGGCUAACUCCGUGCCAGCAGCCGCGGUAAUACGGAGGGUGCAAGCGUUAAUCGGAAUUACUGGGCGUAAAGCGCACGCAGGCGGUUUGUUAAGUCAGAUGUGAAAUCCCCGGGCUCAACCUGGGAACUGCAUCUGAUACUGGCAAGCUUGAGUCUCGUAGAGGGGGGUAGAAUUCCAGGUGUGGCGGUGAAAUGCGUAGAGAUCUGGAGGAAUACCGGUGGCGAAGGCGGCCCCCUGGACGAAGACUGACGAUCAGGUGCGAAAGCGUGGGGAGCAAACAGG